GCCCAAGUGGUGAAAUUGGUAGACACGCACGACUCAAACUCGUGUGCGAAAGCUUGUGGGUUCGAGUCCCACCUUGGGCA
This 80-nucleotide transfer RNA is filed under the name Candidatus Opitulatrix roisinitermitis. RNAcentral's name for it is "tRNA-Leu". It matches the Rfam family "tRNA". Rfam says of the family: Transfer RNA (tRNA) molecules are approximately 80 nucleotides in length. Their secondary structure includes four short double-helical elements and three loops (D, anti-codon, and T loops). The record is from RNAcentral. Lineage: Bacteria; Bacillati; Actinomycetota; Actinomycetes; Bifidobacteriales; Bifidobacteriaceae.